UGCGUAGGCGGCCAAUUAAGUCAAAUGUGAAAUCCCCGAGCUUAACUUGGGAAUUGCAUUCGAUACUGGUUGGCUAGAGUAUGGGAGAGGAUGGUAGAAUUCCAGGUGUAGCGGUGAAAUGCGUAGAGAUCUGGAGGAAUACCGAUGGCGAAGGCAGCCAUCUGGCCUAAUACUGACGCUGAGGUACGAAAGCAUGGGGAGCAAACA
This 207-nucleotide ribosomal RNA is filed under the name uncultured bacterium. RNAcentral's name for it is "partial 16S ribosomal RNA". It matches the Rfam family "Bacterial small subunit ribosomal RNA", at positions 568 to 774 of the family's 1533-position model. The record is from RNAcentral.